This 311-nucleotide non-coding RNA is filed under the name Drosophila virilis. RNAcentral's name for it is "Eukaryotic large subunit ribosomal RNA". It matches the Rfam family "Eukaryotic large subunit ribosomal RNA", at positions 1 to 295 of the family's 3401-position model. The record is from Rfam by way of RNAcentral. Lineage: Eukaryota; Metazoa; Arthropoda; Insecta; Diptera; Drosophilidae.
CAACCUCAACUCAUAUGGGACUACCCCCUGAAUUUAAGCAUAUUAAUUAGGGGAGGAAAAGAAACUAACAAGGAUUUUCUUAGUAGCGGCGAGCGAAAAGAAAUCAGUUCAGCACUAAGUCACUUUGUCUAUAUGGCAAAUGUGAGAUGCAGUGUACGGAACAUCAACAUUCUAGUAUGAGAAGUUAACGAUUUAAGUCCUUCUUAAAUGAGGCCAUUUACCCAUAGAGGGUGCCAGGCCCGUAUAACGUUAAUGAUUACUAGAUGGUGUUUCCAAAGAGUCGUGUUGCUUGAUAGUGCAGCACUAAGUGG